Molecule: non-coding RNA, 69 nt
Organism: Rattus norvegicus (Norway rat)
Lineage: Eukaryota; Metazoa; Chordata; Mammalia; Rodentia; Muridae
Source: Rfam
GGGGAUUUAGCUCAGUGGUAGAGCGCUUGCCUCGCAAGCGCAAGGCUCUGGGUUCGGUCCCCAGCUCCG